AUUGAACGCUGGCGGCAUGCUUUACACAUGCAAGUCGAACGGUAACAGGCCUUCGGGUGCUGACGAGUGGCGAACGGGUGAGUAAUGCAUCGGAACGUACCCAGAGGUGGGGGUUAACGCAGCGAAAGCUGUGCUAAUACCGCAUGUGAUCUGAGGAUGAAGCCGGGGAACCGCGCGGCAAUGUUUGGCCUCGCGCCUUUGGAGCGGCCUAUGUAGGAUUGGCUGGUUGGUGGGGUAAAGGCCUACCAAGGCGACGAUCCGUAGCUGGUCUGAGAGGACGACCAGCCACACUGGGACUGAGACACGGCCCAGACUCCUACGGGAGGCAGCAGUGGGGAAUUUUGGACAAUGGGCGCAAGCCUGAUCCAGCAAUGCCGCGUGCGGGAAGAAGGCCUUCGGGUUGUAAACCGCUUUUGGCAGGAACGAAACGGUGUCCGCUAAUACCGGGCGCUAAUGACGGUACCUGCAGAAUAAGCACCGGCUAACUACGUG
This 492-nucleotide ribosomal RNA is filed under the name uncultured bacterium. RNAcentral's name for it is "partial 16S ribosomal RNA". It matches the Rfam family "Bacterial small subunit ribosomal RNA", at positions 30 to 507 of the family's 1533-position model. The record is from RNAcentral.